UUACUUACCUGGCAGGAGAGAGAGCGGAAGGCUCAGCCAUUGCACUCUGGUUGUGCUGACCGCUGGGAAUAUCUUGACUGCAUCAUUCCUGGUAGUGGGGGACUGCCUUUC
Molecule: small nuclear RNA, 111 nt
Organism: Larimichthys crocea (large yellow croaker)
Lineage: Eukaryota; Metazoa; Chordata; Actinopteri; Sciaenidae
Gene: U1
Rfam family: U1 spliceosomal RNA
About the family: U1 is a small nuclear RNA (snRNA) component of the spliceosome (involved in pre-mRNA splicing). Its 5' end forms complementary base pairs with the 5' splice junction, thus defining the 5' donor site of an intron. There are significant differences in sequence and secondary structure between metazoan and yeast U1 snRNAs, the latter being much longer (568 nucleotides as compared to 164 nucleotides in human).
Source: Ensembl